GUGUCAGCAGCCGCGGUAAUACGGAGGGUGCAAGCAUUGAUCGGAAUUACUGGGCGUAAAGGGCGCGUAGGCGGACGAAUAAGUCGGAUGUGAAAUUCCGGGGCUCAACCCCGGAGCGGCAUUUGAAACUGUUUGUCUAGAGUGCAGAUAGGGUAAACGGAAUUCCACGUGUAGCGGUGAAAUGCGUAGAUAUGUGGAAGAACACCGGUGGUGAAGACGGUUUACUGGGCUGAUACUGACGCUGAGGCGCGAAAGCAUGGGGAGCAAACAGGAUUAGAUACCCUGGUAGUCCAUGCCUUAAACGAUGUAUACUAGGUGUAGAAGGGAUCAACCCCCUCUGUACCGGAGCUAACGCAUUAAGUAUACCGCCUGGGGAGUACGCUCGCAAGGGUGAA
RNAcentral lists this ribosomal RNA (395 nucleotides) under uncultured bacterium. Its description in RNAcentral is "bacterial SSU rRNA". It matches the Rfam family "Bacterial small subunit ribosomal RNA", at positions 505 to 898 of the family's 1533-position model. The record is from RNAcentral.